GGAAGAGAAAGAAAAUUCGAUUCCCUUAGUAGCGGCGAGCGAAACGGGAAGAGCCCAAACCAACAAGCUUGCUUGUUGGGGUUGUAGGACACUCUAUACGGAGUUACAAAGGACGACAUUAGACGAAUCAUCUGGAAAGAUGAAUCAAAGAAGGUAAUAAUCCUGUAGUCGAAAAUGUUGUCUCUCUUGAGUGGAUCCUGAGUACGACGGAGCACGUGAAAUUCCGUCGGAAUCUGGGAGGACCAUCUCCUAAGGCUAAAUACUCUCUAGUGACCGAUAGUGAACCAGUACCGUGAGGGAAAGGUGAAAAGCACCCCGGAAGGGGAGUGAAAUAGAACCUGAAACCGUGUGCUUACAAGUAGUCAGAGCCCGUUAAUGGGUGAUGGCGUGCCUUUUGUAGAAUGAACCGGCGAGUUACGAUUUGAUGCAAGGUUAAGCAGUAAAUGUGGAGCCGUAGCGAAAGCGAGUCUGAAUAGGGCGUUUAGUAUUUGGUCGUAGACCCGAAACCAGGUGAUCUACCCUUGGUCAGGUUGAAGUUCAGGUAACACUGAAUGGAGGACCGAACCGACUUACGUUGAAAAGUGAGCGGAUGAACUGAGGGUAGCGGAGAAAUUCCAAUCGAACCUGGAGAUAGCUGGUUCUCUCCGAAAUAGCUUUAGGGCUAGCCUCAAGUGAUGAUUAUUGGAGGUAGAGCACUGUUUGGACGAGGGGCCCCUCUCGGGUUACCGAAUUCAGACAAACUCCGAAUGCCAAUUAAUUUAACUUGGGAGUCAGAACAUGGGUGAUAAGGUCCGUGUUCGAAAGGGAAACAGCCCAGACCACCAGCUAAGGUCCCAAAAUAUAUGUUAAGUGGAAAAGGAUGUGGCGUUGCCCAGACAACUAGGAUGUUGGCUUAGAAGCAGCCAUCAUUUAAAGAGUGCGUAAUAGCUCAUUAGUCGAGUGACACUGCGCCGAAAAUGUACCGGGGCUAAACAUAUUACCGAAGCUGUGGAUUGUCCUUUGGACAAUGGUAGGAGAGCGUUCUAAGGGCGUUGAAGCAUGAUCGUAAGGACAUGUGGAGCGCUUAGAAGUGAGAAUGCCGGUGUGAGUAGCGAAAGACGGGUGAGAAUCCCGUCCACCGAUUGACUAAGGUUUCCAGAGGAAGGCUCGUCCGCUCUGGGUUAGUCGGGUCCUAAGCUGAGGCCGACAGGCGUAGGCGAUGGAUAACAGGUUGAUAUUCCUGUACCACCUAUAAUCGUUUUAAUCGAUGGGGGGACGCAGUAGGAUAGGCGAAGCGUGCGAUUGGAUUGCACGUCUAAGCAGUAAGGCUGAGUAUUAGGCAAAUCCGGUACUCGUUAAGGCUGAGCUGUGAUGGGGAGAAGACAUUGAGUCUUCGAGUCGUUGAUUUCACACUGCCGAGAAAAGCCUCUAGAUAGAAAAUAGGUGCCCGUACCGCAAACCGACACAGGUAGUCAAGAUGAGAAUUCUAAGGUGAGCGAGCGAACUCUCGUUAAGGAACUCGGCAAAAUGACCCCGUAACUUCGGGAGAAGGGGUGCUCUUUAGGGUUAACGCCCAGAAGAGCCGCAGUGAAUAGGCCCAAGCGACUGUUUAUCAAAAACACAGGUCUCUGCUAAACCGUAAGGUGAUGUAUAGGGGCUGACGCCUGCCCGGUGCUGGAAGGUUAAGAGGAGUGGUUAGCUUCUGCGAAGCUACGAAUCGAAGCCCCAGUAAACGGCGGCCGUAACUAUAACGGUCCUAAGGUAGCGAAAUUCCUUGUCGGGUAAGUUCCGACCCGCACGAAAGGCGUAACGAUUUGGGCACUGUCUCAACGAGAGACUCGGUGAAAUCAUAGUACCUGUGAAGAUGCAGGUUACCCGCGACAGGACGGAAAGACCCCGUGGAGCUUUACUGUAGCCUGAUAUUGAAAUUCGGCACAGCUUGUACAGGAUAGGUAGGAGCCUUUGAAACGUGAGCGCUAGCUUACGUGGAGGCGCUGGUGGGAUACUACCCUAGCUGUGUUGGCUUUCUAACCCGCACCACUUAUCGUGGUGGGAGACAGUGUCAGGCGGGCAGUUUGACUGGGGCGGUCGCCUCCUAAAAGGUAACGGAGGCGCUCAAAGGUUCCCUCAGAAUGGUUGGAAAUCAUUCAUAGAGUGUAAAGGCAUAAGGGAGCUUGACUGCGAGACCUACAAGUCGAGCAGGGUCGAAAGACGGACUUAGUGAUCCGGUGGUUCCGCAUGGAAGGGCCAUCGCUCAACGGAUAAAAGCUACCCCGGGGAUAACAGGCUUAUCUCCCCCAAGAGUUCACAUCGACGGGGAGGUUUGGCACCUCGAUGUCGGCUCAUCGCAUCCUGGGGCUGUAGUCGGUCCCAAGGGUUGGGCUGUUCGCCCAUUAAAGCGGUACGCGAGCUGGGUUCAGAACGUCGUGAGACAGUUCGGUCCCUAUCCGUCGUGGGCGUAGGAAAUUUGAGAGGAGCUGUCCUUAGUACGAGAGGACCGGGAUGGACAUACCUCUGGUGUACCAGUUGUCGUGCCAACGGCAUAGCUGGGUAGCUAUGUGUGGACGGGAUAAGUGCUGAAAGCAUCUAAGCAUGAAGCCCCCCUCAAGAUGAGAUUUCCCAACUUCGGUUAUAAGAUCCCUCAAAGAUGAUGAGGUUAAUAGGUUCGAGGUGGAAGCAUGGUGACAUGUGGAGCUGACGAAUACUAAUCGAUCGAAGACUUAAUCAA
Molecule: ribosomal RNA, 2707 nt
Filed under: Staphylococcus aureus M24419
Lineage: Bacteria; Bacillati; Bacillota; Bacilli; Caryophanales; Staphylococcaceae
Description: bacterial LSU rRNA
Rfam family: Bacterial large subunit ribosomal RNA
Source: RNAcentral